Molecule: ribosomal RNA, 650 nt
Filed under: halophilic archaeon
Lineage: Archaea; Methanobacteriati; Methanobacteriota; Halobacteria; Halobacteriales
Description: bacterial SSU rRNA
Rfam family: Archaeal small subunit ribosomal RNA
Source: RNAcentral
CAGAUAGCUCAGUAACACGUGGCCAAACUACCCUACAGAUCGUGAUAACCUCGGGAAACUGAGGCUAAUAACGAAUACAGCUCCCAGAUUUGAACAUCGGGAGCUGGAAACGUUCCGGCGCUGUAGGAUGUGGCUGCGGCCGAUUAGGUAGACGGUGGGGUAACGGCCCACCGUGCCGAUAAUCGGUACGGGUUGUGAGAGCCAGAACCUGGAGACGGAAUCUGAGACAAGAUUCCGGGCCCUACGGGGCGCAGCAGGCGCGAAACCUUUACACUGCACGACAGUGCGAUAAGGGGACUCCGAGUGCGAGGGCAUAUAGUCCUCGCUUUUCUCUACCGUAAGGUGGUCGACGAACAAGUGCUGGGCAAGACCGGUGCCAGCCGCCGCGGUAAUACCGGCAGCCCGAGUGAUGGUCGCUAUUAUUGGGCCUAAAGCGUCCGUAGCCUGCCGAACAAGUCCGUUGGGAAAUCCACGCGCUCAACUGGUGGACGUCCGGUGGAAACUGUCUGGCUUGGGGCCGGAAGAUCUGAGGGGUACGUCCGGGGUAGGAGUGAAAUCCUGUAAUCCUGGACGGACCACCGAUGGCGAAAGCGCCUCGGGAGGACGGAUCCGACGGUGAGGGACGAAAGCUAGGGUCUCGAACCGGAUUA